GCCUCUAUAGUUCAAUGGAUAGAACGGUGGAUUCCUAAUCCGCAAAUGCAGGUUCGAUUCCUGCUAGGGGCACCA
RNAcentral lists this transfer RNA (75 nucleotides) under Athalassotoga saccharophila. RNAcentral's name for it is "tRNA-Arg". It matches the Rfam family "tRNA". From Rfam's summary of the family: Transfer RNA (tRNA) molecules are approximately 80 nucleotides in length. RNAcentral also lists the same sequence under 4 other names. Lineage: Bacteria; Thermotogati; Thermotogota; Thermotogae; Mesoaciditogales; Mesoaciditogaceae. The record is from RNAcentral.